CUACGGGUGGCACCAGUGAGGAAUAUUGCACAAUGGGGGGAACCCUGAUGCAGCAACGCCGCGUGGAGGAUGACGCAUUUCGGUGUGUAAACUCCUUUUAUAUGUCAAGAAAAUGACGGUAGCAUAUGAAUAAGCACCGGCGUAACUCCGUGCCAGCAGCCGCGGUAAUACGGAGGGUGCAAGCGUUACUCGGAAUCACUGGGCGUAAAGGACGCGUAGGCGGGUUGGAAAGUCGGGUGUGAAAUCCUACAGCUUAACUGUAGAACUGCACUUGAAACUUCUAAUCUAGAGUAUGGGAGGGGGAGAUGGAAUUAGUGGUGUAGGGGUAAAAUCCGUAGAUAUCACUAGGAGUACCUAAAGCGAAGGCGAUCUCCUGGAACAUUACUGACGCUAAGGCGUGAAAGCGUGGGGAGCAAACAGGAUUAGAUACCCGGGUAGUC
RNAcentral lists this ribosomal RNA (440 nucleotides) under uncultured bacterium. RNAcentral describes it as "partial 16S ribosomal RNA". It matches the Rfam family "Bacterial small subunit ribosomal RNA", at positions 339 to 795 of the family's 1533-position model. The record is from RNAcentral.